RNAcentral lists this long non-coding RNA (1183 nucleotides) under Rattus norvegicus (Norway rat). RNAcentral's name for it is "long non-coding RNA NONRATT003292". The record is from RNAcentral. Lineage: Eukaryota; Metazoa; Chordata; Mammalia; Rodentia; Muridae.
AGAGAAGAGCCUUCGACCCUGGGGAAACGAACAAAGUCAUCAGGCAGAGUGACAGGCACACCGGCACCAGUGCAGGAAGAAAAUAACACCACAACCUUCAUGGAAACUCCAAAGCAGAAACUGGAGUCUUUAGGAGAUUUAACAGGGCUUAGGAAACAGUCCAGAACACCUAAAGCAAAAGCCCAAUAUCUAGAGGACAUAUCUGGUUUUCAGGAGGGUUUCCAGACACCAGACCAUGCCAAUGGCCCAUUAGCAGUUGGCAAAACCAAAAAAAUGUCCUUUAUUUCUCCACAACCAGGAAGUGCCAUAACCCUAAAGAGCAUAGAGAGACAGUCUAGGGCAAGUAUGAGUAACAUGAAUGUUAAAGAAGAACUUUUAGAAUCAGAGGAACACCUACAAUUAGGAGAAGGUAUAGACACACUUCAAGUACCUAACAACAACAAAGUCUUUAGGUCAUCUAGGAAACCUGCAAAGCGUAAACUGGAUCCAACAGCUAGUAUGCCUAGCAGUAAGAGGAUGAGACGUUCCUCAAAGGAUAGCACACCAAGCCUAGAAGACGUGACUGGUUCCCAACAGCUUUGCCAAAUGCCAGGCCAUGCUAAGGACUCUUUGAACACUGAAGCCUCAACAAUGUUUACUAAACCACCACAAUCAGGACCAGUUAGAACCCAAAACAACAGAAAGAGUCUGCCCAAGAUUAGCCUGAGACAAGUAGAUGUGACGGGAGGAAUUUCAGUUCUCGGGAAGCAGUCACCUGGCAGAGCCCUCACAGCACCAGUGCAGGCGGAUAAUGGGAUCAAAGCAAUUAUGGAGACUCCAAAGGAAACACUGGCAACUGCAGCAGAUUUAACUGGGUUUACCAGACCACAACAAACACCUAAGGAAAAAGACCAGCCCCUGGAAGAUUAUGGUGGCUUCCAAGAACUCUUCCAAACACCAGCUGGUGCCAGUGACUCAGUGACUGUUGAGGAAAGUAAAAAGAUGCCAGUGGAAUCUUUACAACCACAACCAGUCAGAACCCCAGCAAGCACAAAGAGACUGUCCAAGACAGGUCUCAGUAAGGUGGAUGUGAGAGAAGAGCCUUCAACACCUGGGAAAAGAACAAAGUCAUCAGACACAGUGACAGGCACACCUGCACCAGUGCCGGAAGAAAAUGACACCACACCCUUUAUGCAAACUCCAA